This 1413-nucleotide long non-coding RNA is filed under the name Equus caballus (horse). Its description in RNAcentral is "lncRNA (ENSECAG00000055330.1)". Lineage: Eukaryota; Metazoa; Chordata; Mammalia; Perissodactyla; Equidae. The record is from RNAcentral.
GCCGGCUGGUUUGUGCACAUGCGGGCAGUCUCUCCUUCUCCCUCUGUGCUGGCUCCGGGCUGAGGAAGUCCUCGGUCAGUGGCAGUGGCUGGCGCCUUCCAACUGUGAAAACGGAGUGAGCCGUCGCUAGGGCUGCUCUGGGCAAGAAACAGGGCAGGAGAGCAGGCCACUGUGCAGACGGGGCUCAGUGGAUCUGGGGUGGCCCAGGAACUGGGUCUGGUGCAGAAGGCUCUCCAGCAGGGGUUUGAGGUAAGCUGAUUCUGGAGGAUGAAUUGAUCAUCGCCAGAUGAAGGCAGUGAAAAAGGGCAGACCGCGCAGAAGUCCCUUCAUGUACGGAAUACUGGAGACCUGAAAGAGCAUGAGUCAGAUUUCAGUAGGUCUGAAGUUUGGGGCUAAGGGGAGAAAUGUUGAGAGAUGAGACUGGAGGGCUGGUCACAACCCUGUGUAUCUUGCUGUUUGUUUAGAAUGCUCUUGGUUACUAGUAGCAGAAGAUUCCAAUUCAGCUGAUGUAAACAACAAGGACAUGUCACAGCCUCACAUACUGGAAGUCUAGAGGUGGAGUGGCUCCAGGCUCGCUUAAUUCAGUGGCUCAACCCUGCCAUCAGGUUCCUACCAUCUACAGACUAGCUCUCCUCCUGGUUUCAAAAUGGCUGCCAUCCUUUCAGGCAUCGCAUCCAGAUACAGCAACAUCUACCAGAAGAUGGAACUAGCACUAUGCCUGAAACCUGAAAUUACAGCAGCUGAAACAAAAUAACAAUUUGCCGCUCAUGAAACAGUCACGGUGUCAGGAACCCGGGCUCCUUCCAUCUUGUUGCUCCGCCAUCACUUUCUGCUGCCCUGAUGCUAUGCUGCAAGAUGGUGCACCAUUGCCCCUGCCUUCCAGCCUGUGGGAUGGAAUAAAAAGACAAAGGAAGGGCACGCUUAUUCCUUUUAAGGGCAUGACAUGGAAUCACACAUUCCAUUUGUAUAUCUUACAGUGGCCCGAACUUAGUCACAUGGUGUGAUACUGUGAUUUAUAAUAAGAAAUAUAUUUUUGGUCUUUGACCCGUUUCUGGCACAGAGCUCCUAAAACCCUUGGAAUUUCCUAAGAGAUGAGAGUGCAAAAGGUGUCUUUUGUUAUGGGAAUGAGGUGAUGCUUGGACUACAAUUAAGGGUUGGGGCUGGGUGCCAGGCAAACCAACCAUGUGAUUAGAGGUCUGGAACUUUCAGUGCCACCCCCUCACCUCCGGGGAGGGGAGAGGGGCUGGAGAGUGAAUCCAAUGGCCCAAUGGCCAAUGAGUUAACCAAGCAUGCCUACGUAAUGAAGUGAAUCCCAAGUGAGGGGCGAGACAGGGGACAGCCUGGUGGGACUGAGCCCCUAACCAGUGGGAUCUGAUGCCAUCUGCAGGUAGAUGGUGUUAGAAUUGAGUUGAA